GAUGAACGCUGGCGGCGUGCCUAAUACAUGCAAGUCGAGCGAACGGACGAGAAGCUUGCUUCUCUGAUGUUAGCGGCGGACGGGUGAGUAACGCGUGGAUAACCUACCUAUAAGACUGGGAUAACUUCGGGAAACCGGAGCUAAUACCGGAUGAUAUUUUGAACCGCAUGGUUCAAAAGUGAAAGACGGUCUUGCUGUCACUUAUAGAUGGAUCCGCGCUGCAUUAGCUAGUUGGUAAGGUAACGGCUUACCAAGGCAACGAUGCAUAGCCGACCUGAGAGGGUGAUCGGCCACACUGGAACUGAGACACGGUCCAGACUCCUACGGGAGGCAGCAGUAGGGAAUCUUCCGCAAUGGGCGAAAGCCUGACGGAGCAACGCCGCGUGAGUGAUGAAGGUCUUCGGAUCGUAAAACUCUGUUAUUAGGGAAGAACAUAUGUGUAAGUAACUGUGCACAUCUUGACGGUACCUAAUCAGAAAGCCGCGGCUAACUACGUG
This 497-nucleotide ribosomal RNA is filed under the name uncultured bacterium. RNAcentral describes it as "partial 16S ribosomal RNA". It matches the Rfam family "Bacterial small subunit ribosomal RNA", at positions 28 to 507 of the family's 1533-position model. The record is from RNAcentral.